Molecule: ribosomal RNA, 267 nt
Filed under: uncultured bacterium
Lineage: Bacteria
Description: partial 16S ribosomal RNA
Rfam family: Bacterial small subunit ribosomal RNA
Source: RNAcentral
GUCCACGCCGUAAACGAUGGGUGCUAGGUGUUGCGGGUAUUGACCCCUGCGGCGCCGCAGCUAACGCAUUAAGCACCCCGCCUGGGGACUACGGCCGCAAGGCUAAAACUCAAAGGAAUUGACGGGGGCCCGCACAAGCGGUGGAGCAUGUGGUUUAAUUCGACGCAACGCGAAGAACCUUACCCGGGUUAGAACUCUCAGGAAGUCUGCAGAGACGUGGAUGUGCCCUUCGGGGAACCUGAUGUCCAGGUGCUGCAUGGCUGUCGU